Molecule: small RNA, 551 nt
Filed under: Pongo abelii (Sumatran orangutan)
Lineage: Eukaryota; Metazoa; Chordata; Mammalia; Primates; Hominidae
Description: retained intron
Source: RNAcentral
CAAACCCUGGCUCACCUCUCGAACACUGCUGCCUGCGGGCGAGGACCCAUACCCUCCCGGGGUCUCUCCCUGAGUCUGUGUUCUCUGCCGUAGGCAAGAUUGAGCAGGAGAAGAAGGAGCAGAAGGAGAUCGAGCACCACAUGAAGGACCUGGACAACGACCUGAAGAAGCUCAACAUGUUGAUGAAUAAAAACCGGUGCAGCUCGGAGGAGCUGGAGCAGAACAACCGGGUGACGGAGAAUGAGUUCGUGCGCUCGCUGAAGGCCUCUGAGAGGGAGACCAUCAAGAUGCAGGACAAGCUGAACCAGCUCAGCGAGGAGAAGGCGACCCUCCUGAAUCAACUGGUGGAAGCAGAACACCAGAUUAUGCUUUGGGAGAAAAAAAUCCAACUGGCAAAAGAGAUGCGUUCCUCAGUGGAUUCCGAGAUCGGCCAGACAGAGAUCCGGGCUAUGAAGGGCGAGGUCCACAGGAUGAAGGUCAGGUUCGGGCAGCUGCUGAAGCAGCGGGAGAAGAUGAUCCGUGCCAUGGAGCUGGCGGUUGCCCGCAGAGAG